AAGGCCUAAAUUAAAAUAUUGUUUGUUUGCCCUUUUCCGACCCUAUGUUUUGAAACAGGGUAGGUAGGUAGGUAAAAUAUUUUAUUUUUUCCCCAAAAAAAAUAACUUGGCUCGGUAUAUUAUUUUUCAUGGGUAGGCAGGUAGGUUUAAUAUUUUAUUUUAUAUACAAAAUCAGCAUAAUGUCAUUUUUUAGAUAUAGAAAUAUCAUUUUUGUCUGUUUUGUUUUUUGCAAAUAAGUUUUCUGGGACUAUUAGUUUUGAAGAAAAAAAAUAUCACGUAGAAUGUGAAGCACAUAUAUUCAUAUGCACUACUAUUUUGUUUUCAAAUAUCAAAAUAUAGAGCUGUGCCUCAUAUCUUCAACUUUUACAUGCCUGGAACUUUGAACUUGCACUUAUAUUCUGUACUACGUACCUUGUACGCUUACCUAAGGUUUUCUGUAAGAGAUAACUUUGUACUGGUAAGAUAUGUCCGGACAGACAUACAUUACUAGUAGAAAAAGUCCCUAGAGUGUUAAAAAAUUUCAUGUGUGCCUUUGUUUCCAAUAAAAAUGCUACAAGAAUUAAAACUCAAUUGUCACGUAGUUAACAUCGCAUUUAUAAAUGAUUUGUAUGGAAAACUUGGCGAUUUUACUGCCAGAUAUUCUCUUCUUUACAGGGUUUUGUCACUUUUGGUUCAUGUCAGAUAUAAAUAAUAUAGCGGCAUCGUUAACUUAAUCAUCCUGAUCUGCGCAUCACAAAAGGCCAUUCCUACAUAGAAUACAACGUCCGUUUACAAAUUAGUUUGUACACAUGUAGAUAAUUUUGUAUCAAACAAACUUUUUUUAUAAAUGAACCCUGCUCUUUAAGUAUAAAGCCUUAAGAUACAGAGUAACGUACGUUAUAUCAUGAUUUCCUCAAUCUCAAACAAAUGCUUUGAAACUUCAAAUGCAAGUGUUCAUGUCAAACGCCCAGGUGAUACCAAGCGGACUGGACCUUAUACGUUAAAGAUAAAACCCGAGGAUUCCGGUAAAAAAGUUUUGAGCGGGAAAUACAAAUAUAAGAUUUUUGGUAGGAACGAAAAAAUAAAAUAAAAUAAAAUCUUGCUGGUAAAUACAAAUAAAAGAAUUUCAGGCGGAACGAAUUUAUAGGGUCGGUCGGUAAAGG
Molecule: long non-coding RNA, 1142 nt
Filed under: Mytilus galloprovincialis (Mediterranean mussel)
Lineage: Eukaryota; Metazoa; Mollusca; Bivalvia; Mytilida; Mytilidae
Source: RNAcentral